This 72-nucleotide transfer RNA is filed under the name Pangasianodon gigas (Mekong giant catfish). Its description in RNAcentral is "tRNA-Leu". The record is from RNAcentral. Lineage: Eukaryota; Metazoa; Chordata; Actinopteri; Siluriformes; Pangasiidae.
UCCCUGGAGGACUAGUGGUUAGGCCUCGGCACGCAAGCUGCCAUGGCCCGGGUUCGAUUCCUGGCCAGGGAA